GAUGAACGCUGGCGGCGUGCCUAAUACAUGCAAGUCGAGCGAACGGACGAGAAGCUUGCUUCUCUGAUGUUAGCGGCGGACGGGUGAGUAACACGUGGAUAACCUACCUAUCAGACUGGGAUCACUUCGGGAAACCGGAGCUAAUACCGGAUGAUCUUUUGAACCGCAUGGUUCAAAAGUGAAAGACGGUCUUGCUGUCACUUAUAGCUGGAUCCGCGCUGCAUUAGCUAGUUGGUAAGGUAACGGCUUACCAAGGCAACGAUGCAUAGCCGACCUGAGAGGGUGAUCGGCCACACUGGAACUGAGACGCGGUCCAGACUCCUACGGGAGGCAGCAGUAGGGAAUCUUCCGCAAUGGGCGAAAGCCUGACGGAGCAACGCCGCGUGAGUGACGAAGGUCUUCGGAUCGUAAAACUCUGUUAUUAGGGAAGAACAGAUGUGUAAGUAACUGUGCACAUCUUGACGGUACCUAAUCAGAAAGCCACGGCUAACUACGUG
This 497-nucleotide ribosomal RNA is filed under the name uncultured bacterium. RNAcentral describes it as "partial 16S ribosomal RNA". It matches the Rfam family "Bacterial small subunit ribosomal RNA", at positions 28 to 507 of the family's 1533-position model. The record is from RNAcentral.